AACGACUCUCGGCAACGGAUAUCUCGGCUCUCGCAUCGAUGAAGAACGUAGCGAAAUGCGAUACUUGGUGUGAAUUGCAGAAUCCCGUGAACCAUCGAGUCUUUGAACGCAAGUUGCGCCCCAAACCUUCUGGUCGAGGGCACGUCUGCCUGGGUGUCACAAA
Molecule: ribosomal RNA, 163 nt
Filed under: Thysanocarpus curvipes
Lineage: Eukaryota; Viridiplantae; Streptophyta; Magnoliopsida; Brassicales; Brassicaceae
Description: 5.8S ribosomal RNA
Rfam family: 5.8S ribosomal RNA
About the family: 5.8S ribosomal RNA (5.8S rRNA) is a component of the large subunit of the eukaryotic ribosome. It is transcribed by RNA polymerase I as part of the 45S precursor that also contains 18S and 28S rRNA.
Source: RNAcentral